Molecule: ribosomal RNA, 406 nt
Filed under: uncultured bacterium
Lineage: Bacteria
Description: partial 16S ribosomal RNA
Rfam family: Bacterial small subunit ribosomal RNA
Source: RNAcentral
AUUGAACGCUAGCGGCAGGCUUAACACAUGCAAGUCGAACGAGUGGCGGACGGGUGAGUAAUGUCUCGGAACCUGCCUGAUGGCGGGGGAUAACUACUGGAAACGGUAGCUAAUACCGCAUACUAUCGGAUCUGCCCAGAUGGGAUUAGCUAGUGGGUGGGGUAACGGCGCACCAAGGCGACGAUCCCUAGCUGGUCUGAGAGGAUGACCAGCAACACUGGGACUUAGACACGGCCCAGACUCCUACGGGAGGCAGCAGUGGGGAAUAUUGGACAAUGGGCGCAAGCCUGAUGCAGCCAUGCCGCGUGUAUGAAGAAGGCCUUCGGGUUGUAAAGUACUUUCAGCAGGGAGGCGUUACCCGCAGAAGAAGCACCGGCUAACUCCGUGCCAGCAGCCGCGGUAAUUC